GCGUGCUUUGCGGCCGCCCUGCCGCGCGCACAUGUAGGCGUUCCGAGCGGCGGCGGAGGAAAGGGAACAUCACAGAAAGGUGAAGAAAUUUGCCCUAAAUCAUAAAACUUUGUAAGUGGCAGAACAAGGAUUUGAAGCUGGCAGUCUGGUUCCAGAGAUGGGGUUUUACUAUGUUACCCAGGCUGGUCUUGAACUUCUGUUCUCAAGAGAUCCACACACCUCAGCCUCCCAAAGUGCUGGGAUUACAGGCGUGAGUCACUUCACCUGGCCCAUACUGUCAGGUGCAGUGUGAGGUCCUGGGGACACUUGCUGUGAGUACCCUCAGCCAGCUCAGAGUUCUACCGAAGAGACUGACAAGUACACCUGCAGUGACAACACUCGUGUAGGACGUGCCUGCUUCCCCUUCACCUUCCGCCAUGUUUGUAAGUUUCCCGAGGCCUCCCCAGAAGCCGUCAUGCUUCCUGUACAGCCUGUGGAACCAUGAGCCAG
Molecule: long non-coding RNA, 489 nt
Filed under: Homo sapiens (human)
Lineage: Eukaryota; Metazoa; Chordata; Mammalia; Primates; Hominidae
Description: HSALNT0305419
Source: RNAcentral